RNAcentral lists this ribosomal RNA (492 nucleotides) under uncultured bacterium. RNAcentral's name for it is "partial 16S ribosomal RNA". It matches the Rfam family "Bacterial small subunit ribosomal RNA", at positions 29 to 507 of the family's 1533-position model. The record is from RNAcentral.
AGUGAACGCUGGCGGUAGGCCUAACACAUGCAAGUCGAACGGCAGCACAGUAAGAGCUUGCUCUUACGGGUGGCGAGUGGCGGGCGGGUGAGGAAUACAUCGGAAUCUACUUUUUCGUGGGGGAUAACGUAGGGAAACUUACGCUAAUACCGCAUACGACCUACGGGUGAAAGCAGGGGAUCUUCGGACCUUGCGCGAUUGAAUGAGCCGAUGUCGGAUUAGCUAGUUGGCGGGGUAAAGGCCCACCAAGGCGACGAUCCGUAGCUGGUCUGAGAGGAUGAUCGGCCACACUGGAACGGAGACACGGUCCAGACUCCGACGGGAGGCAGCAGUGGGGAAUAUUGGACAAUGGGCGCAAGCCUGAUCCAGCCAUACCGCGUGGGUGAAGAAGGCCUUCGGGUUGUAAAGCCCUUUUGUUGGGAAAGAAAAGCAGCAGGUUAAUACCCCGCUGUUCUGACGGUACCCAAAGAAUAAGCACCGGCUAACUUCGUG